This is a non-coding RNA of Perca flavescens (yellow perch), 796 nucleotides long. The record is from the annotation of a RefSeq genome assembly. NCBI's taxonomy places the organism in Eukaryota, Metazoa, Chordata, Actinopteri, Perciformes, Percidae.
UUCUCUCCGCCUCAACUUUUUAUUUUUCUCUUUUUCGCCUGCGCUGUCCAUUCUGUCUCCACCCUGCUAGGCCGCACGCUUCAACAACUUUAACUUUAACAACUAGAUAAACAAGAACAAAAGACUUCACCUCUGAAGUUGAGAGCAGCCUUCCUGGAGCACAGUUAGACAUCACAGAGCUGUGAUCAUACGCACCACGAUGAAACGGAGCCUGAUAACAGCUUUAAUUCUCUGCAGCAUCAGCUGGAUCUCUGUCUCAGGUUCUGAGUCUCACACUGAGACUGUGGAGGGUCGGCCGGGUGGAGAAGUCACACUCACAUGCUCUAACCCGUCCAACCAAGACGCUACAACACUCUGGUUGAGAGUGGUCAACAGAACCAAGGCCAGCUGGAUCUCCACGAUGACCAGCUCUACAGGAACACCUCUAUACAGUGAUGGAAUUAAAAAUGUUAGAUUCAAAAUGAGUACCAACAUCUCCACUCUCUCUCUCCAAAUCAAAGAUGUGAAUGUAUCUGACUCUGGACUGUAUUUAUGUGGUCUUUACACCGGAGGACGUUAUAAUUUCAGCACAAUAUACGUCAAUGUUAAAGGCAGCGAUGAAUCUCAUGACGACGACAGGAAGUCUAAAACAGAGUCUGAUGGAACAGCAAAGCUGAUGAGUUUGAUCCUGGGAGCUCUGACUGUUCUCCUCUUAAUGGUCAUCAUUGGUCUGGUUGUUACAAUCAGGAAACUUCAGAAAGCUGCCAAUGAAGAACAGAAUCCACAACAGCCUGAGAUUAGGUAGAGACUCAGCCAA